GGUUAAGCGACUAAGCGUACACGGUGGAUGCCCUGGCAGUCAGAGGCGAUGAAGGGCGUGCUAAUCUGCGAUAAGCGCCGGUAAGGUGAUAUGAACCGUUAUAACCGGCGAUACCCGAAUGGGGAAACCCAGUGUGAUUCGUCACACUAUCAUUAACUGAAUCCAUAGGUUAAUGAGGCGAACCGGGGGAACUGAAACAUCUAAGUACCCCGAGGAAAAGAAAUCAACCGAGAUUCCCCCAGUAGCGGCGAGCGAACGGGGAGGAGCCCAGAGCCUGAAUCAGCAUGUGUGUUAGUGGAAGCGUCUGGAAAGGCGCGCGAUACAGGGUGACAGCCCCGUACACAAAAGCGCAUGUGCUGUGAGCUCGAUGAGUAGGGCGGGACACGUGGUAUCCUGUCUGAAUAUGGGGGGACCAUCCUCCAAGGCUAAAUACUCCUGACUGACCGAUAGUGAACCAGUACCGUGAGGGAAAGGCGAAAAGAACCCCGGCGAGGGGAGUGAAAAAGAACCUGAAACCGUGUACGUACAAGCAGUGGGAGCACCCUUUGGGUGUGACUGCGUACCUUUUGUAUAAUGGGUCAGCGACUUAUAUUCUGUAGCAAGGUUAACCGAAUAGGGGAGCCGGAGGGAAACCGAGUCUUAACCGGGCGUUAAGUUGCAGGGUAUAGACCCGAAACCCGGUGAUCUAGCCAUGGGCAGGUUGAAGGUUGGGUAACACUAACUGGAGGACCGAACCGACUAAUGUUGAAAAAUUAGCGGAUGACCUGUGGCUGGGGGUGAAAGGCCAAUCAAACCGGGAGAUAGCUGGUUCUCCCCGAAAGCUAUUUAGGUAGCGCCUCGUGAAUUCAUCUCCGGGGGUAGAGCACUGUUUCGGCUAGGGGGCCAUCCCGGCUUACCAACCCGAUGCAAACUGCGAAUACCGGAGAAUGUUAUCACGGGAGACACACGGCGGGUGCUAACGUCCGUCGUGAAGAGGGAAACAACCCAGACCGCCAGCUAAGGUCCCAAAGUCAUGGUUAAGUGGGAAACGAUGUGGGAAGGCCCAGACAGCCAGGAUGUUGGCUUAGAAGCAGCCAUCAUUUAAAGAAAGCGUAAUAGCUCACUGGUCGAGUCGGCCUGCGCGGAAGAUGUAACGGGGCUAAACCAUGCACCGAAGCUGCGGCAGCGACACUGUGUGUUGUUGGGUAGGGGAGCGUUCUGUAAGCCUGCGAAGGUGGCCUGUGAGGGUUGCUGGAGGUAUCAGAAGUGCGAAUGCUGACAUAAGUAACGAUAAAGCGGGUGAAAAGCCCGCUCGCCGGAAGACCAAGGGUUCCUGUCCAACGUUAAUCGGGGCAGGGUGAGUCGACCCCUAAGGCGAGGCCGAAAGGCGUAGUCGAUGGGAAACGGGUUAAUAUUCCCGUACUUGGUGUUACUGCGAAGGGGGGACGGAGAAGGCUAUGUUGGCCGGGCGACGGUUGUCCCGGUUUAAGCGUGUAGGUGUGUGUUCCAGGUAAAUCCGGUUCACUUUAACACUGAGGCGUGACGACGAGGCACUACGGUGCUGAAGCAACAAAUGCCCUGCUUCCAGGAAAAGCCUCUAAGCAUCAGGUAACAUCAAAUCGUACCCCAAACCGACACAGGUGGUCAGGUAGAGAAUACCAAGGCGCUUGAGAGAACUCGGGUGAAGGAACUAGGCAAAAUGGUGCCGUAACUUCGGGAGAAGGCACGCUGACACGUAGGUGAAGUGAUUUACUCAUGGAGCUGAAGUCAGUCGAAGAUACCAGCUGGCUGCAACUGUUUAUUAAAAACACAGCACUGUGCAAACACGAAAGUGGACGUAUACGGUGUGACGCCUGCCCGGUGCCGGAAGGUUAAUUGAUGGGGUCAGCGCAAGCGAAGCUCCUGAUCGAAGCCCCGGUAAACGGCGGCCGUAACUAUAACGGUCCUAAGGUAGCGAAAUUCCUUGUCGGGUAAGUUCCGACCUGCACGAAUGGCGUAAUGAUGGCCAGGCUGUCUCCACCCGAGACUCAGUGAAAUUGAACUCGCUGUGAAGAUGCAGUGUACCCGCGGCAAGACGGAAAGACCCCGUGAACCUUUACUAUAGCUUGACACUGAACAUUGAGCCUUGAUGUGUAGGAUAGGUGGGAGGCUUUGAAGUGUGGACGCCAGUCUGCAUGGAGCCGACCUUGAAAUACCACCCUUUAAUGUUUGAUGUUCUAACGUGGACCCGUUACCCGGGUUGCGGACAGUGUCUGGUGGGUAGUUUGACUGGGGCGGUCUCCUCCUAAAGAGUAACGGAGGAGCACGAAGGUUGGCUAAUCCUGGUCGGACAUCAGGAGGUUAGUGCAAUGGCAUAAGCCAGCUUGACUGCGAGCGUGACGGCGCGAGCAGGUGCGAAAGCAGGUCAUAGUGAUCCGGUGGUUCUGAAUGGAAGGGCCAUCGCUCAACGGAUAAAAGGUACUCCGGGGAUAACAGGCUGAUACCGCCCAAGAGUUCAUAUCGACGGCGGUGUUUGGCACCUCGAUGUCGGCUCAUCACAUCCUGGGGCUGAAGUAGGUCCCAAGGGUAUGGCUGUUCGCCAUUUAAAGUGGUACGCGAGCUGGGUUUAGAACGUCGUGAGACAGUUCGGUCCCUAUCUGCCGUGGGCGCUGGAGAACUGAGGGGGGCUGCUCCUAGUACGAGAGGACCGGAGUGGACGCAUCACUGGUGUUCGGGUUGUCAUGCCAAUGGCACUGCCCGGUAGCUAAAUGCGGAAGAGAUAAGUGCUGAAAGCAUCUAAGCACGAAACUUGCCCCGA
RNAcentral lists this ribosomal RNA (2776 nucleotides) under Salmonella enterica subsp. enterica serovar Enteritidis. RNAcentral describes it as "partial 23S ribosomal RNA". It matches the Rfam family "Bacterial large subunit ribosomal RNA". Lineage: Bacteria; Pseudomonadati; Pseudomonadota; Gammaproteobacteria; Enterobacterales; Enterobacteriaceae. The record is from RNAcentral.